AGCCCUCCAGGACAGGCUGCAUCAGAAGAGGCCAUCAAGCAGAUCACUGUCCUUCUGCCAUGGCCCUGUGGAUGCGCCUCCUGCCCCUGCUGGCGCUGCUGGCCCUCUGGGGACCUGACCCAGCCGCAGCCUUUGUGAACCAACACCUGUGCGGCUCACACCUGGUGGAAGCUCUCUACCUAGUGUGCGGGGAACGAGGCUUCUUCUACACACCCAAGACCCGCCGGGAGGCAGAGGACCUGCAGGCCUCAGCUUUGUCCCUCUCCUCCUCCACGUCAACCUGGCCAGAGGGUCUGGACGCCACAGCCAGGGCACCCCCUGCUUUGGUGGUGACUGCUAAUAUUGGCCAGGCCGGCGGAUCAUCGUCCAGGCAGUUUCGGCAGAGAGCCUUGGGCACCAGUGACUCCCCGGUCCUCUUUAUCCACUGUCCAGGAGCUGCGGGGACUGCGCAGGGACUAGAGUACAGGGGCCGAAGAGUCACCACCGAGCUUGUGUGGGAGGAGGUGGAUUCCAGCCCCCAGCCCCAGGGCUCUGAAUCGCUGCCAGCUCAGCCCCCUGCCCAGCCUGCCCCACAGCCUGAGCCCCAGCAGGCCAGAGAGCCCAGUCCUGAGGUGAGCUGCUGUGGCCUGUGGCCCAGGCGACCCCAGCGCUCCCAGAACUGAGGCUGGCAGCCAGCCCCAGCCUCAGCCCCAACUGCGAGGCAGAGAGACACCAAUGGGAAUCCCAAUGGGGAAGUCGAUGCUGGUGCUUCUCACCUUCUUGGCCUUCGCCUCGUGCUGCAUUGCUGCUUACCGCCCCAGUGAGACCCUGUGCGGCGGGGAGCUGGUGGACACCCUCCAGUUCGUCUGUGGGGACCGCGGCUUCUACUUCAGCAGGCCCGCAAGCCGUGUGAGCCGUCGCAGCCGUGGCAUCGUUGAGGAGUGCUGUUUCCGCAGCUGUGACCUGGCCCUCCUGGAGACGUACUGUGCUACCCCCGCCAAGUCCGAGAGGGACGUGUCGACCCCUCCGACCGUGCUUCCGGACAACUUCCCCAGAUACCCCGUGGGCAAGUUCUUCCAAUAUGACACCUGGAAGCAGUCCACCCAGCGCCUGCGCAGGGGCCUGCCUGCCCUCCUGCGUGCCCGCCGGGGUCACGUGCUCGCCAAGGAGCUCGAGGCGUUCAGGGAGGCCAAACGUCACCGUCCCCUGAUUGCUCUACCCACCCAAGACCCCGCCCACGGGGGCGCCCCCCCAGAGAUGGCCAGCAAUCGGAAGUGAGCAAAACUGCCGCAAGUCUGCAGCCCGGCGCCACCAUCCUGCAGCCUCCUCCUGACCACGGACGUUUCCAUCAGGUUCCAUCCCGAAAAUCUCUCGGUUCCACGUCCCCCUGGGGCUUCUCCUGACCCAGUCCCCGUGCCCCGCCUCCCCGAAACAGGCUACUCUCCUCGGCCCCCUCCAUCGGGCUGAGGAAGCACAGCAGCAUCUUCAAACAUGUACAAAAUCGAUUGGCUUUAAACACCCUUCACAUACCCUCCCCCCAAAUUAUCCCCAAUUAUCCCCACACAUAAAAAAUCAAAACAUUAAACUAACCCCCUUCCCCCCCCCCCACAACAACCCUCUUAAAACUAAUUGGCUUUUUAGAAACACCCCACAAAAGCUCAGAAAUUGGCUUUAAAAAAAACAACCACCAAAAAAAAUCAAUUGGCUAAAAAAAAAAAGUAUUAAAAACGAAUUGGCUGAGAAACAAUUGGCAAAAUAAAGGAAUUUGGCACUCCCCACCCCCCUCUUUCUCUUCUCCCUUGGACUUUGAGUCAAAUUGGCCUGGACUUGAGUCCCUGAACCAGCAAAGAGAAAAGAAGGACCCCAGAAAUCACAGGUGGGCACGUCGCUGCUACCGCCAUCUCCCUUCUCACGGGAAUUUUCAGGGUAAACUGGCCAUCCGAAAAUAGCAACAACCCAGACUGGCUCCUCACUCCCUUUUCCAUCACUAAAAAUCACAGAGCAGUCAGAGGGACCCAGUAAGACCAAAGGAGGGGAGGACAGAGCAUGAAAACCAAAAUCCAUGCAAAUGAAAUGUAAUUGGCACGACCCUCACCCCCAAAUCUUACAUCUCAAUUCCCAUCCUAAAAAGCACUCAUACUUUAUGCAUCCCCGCAGCUACACACACACAACACACAGCACACGCAUGAACACAGCACACACACGAGCACAGCACACACACAAACGCACAGCACACACAGCACACAGAUGAGCACACAGCACACACACAAACGCACAGCACACACACGCACACACAUGCACACACAGCACACAAACGCACGGCACACACACGCACACACAUGCACACACAGCACACACACAAACGCACAGCACACACAAACGCACAGCACACACGCACACACAGCACACACACGAGCACACAGCACACAAACGCACAGCACACGCACACACAUGCACACACAGCACACACACUAGCACACAGCACACACACAAAGACACAGCACACACAUGCACACACAGCACACACACGCGAACACAGCACACACGAACACAGCACACACAGCACACACACAAACACAGCACACACAUGCACACAGCACACGCACACACAGCACACACAUGAACACAGCACACAGCACACACAUGCACACACAGCACACACGCAUGCACAGCACACAUGAACACAGCACACACACAAACACACAGCACACACAUGCACACACAGCACACACACUCAUGCGCAGCACAUACAUGAACACAGCUCACAGCACACAAACACGCAGCACACACGUUGCACACGCAAGCACCCACCUGCACACACACAUGCGCACACACACGCACACCCCCACAAAAUUGGAUGAAAACAAUAAGCAUAUCUAAGCAACUACGAUAUCUGUAUGGAUCAGGCCAAAGUCCCGCUAAGAUUCUCCAAUGUUUUCAUGGUCUGAGCCCCGCUCCUGUUCCCAUCUCCACUGCCCCUCGGCCCUGUCUGUGCCCUGCCUCUCAGAGGAGGGGGCUCAGAUGGUGCGGCCUGAGUGUGCGGCCGGCGGCAUUUGGGAUACACCCGUAGGGUGGGCGGGGUGUGUCCCAGGCCUAAUUCCAUCUUUCCACCAUGACAGAGAUGCCCUUGUGAGGCUGGCCUCCUUGGCGCCUGUCCCCACGGCCCCCGCAGCGUGAGCCACGAUGCUCCCCAUACCCCACCCAUUCCCGAUACACCUUACUUACUGUGUGUUGGCCCAGCCAGAGUGAGGAAGGAGUUUGGCCACAUUGGAGAUGGCGGUAGCUGAGCAGACAUGCCCCCACGAGUAGCCUGACUCCCUGGUGUGCUCCUGGAAGGAAGAUCUUGGGGACCCCCCCACCGGAGCACACCUAGGGAUCAUCUUUGCCCGUCUCCUGGGGACCCCCCAAGAAAUGUGGAGUCCUCGGGGGCCGUGCACUGAUGCGGGGAGUGUGGGAAGUCUGGCGGUUGGAGGGGUGGGUGGGGGGCAGUGGGGGCUGGGCGGGGGGAGUUCUGGGGUAGGAAGUGGUCCCGGGAGAUUUUGGAUGGAAAAGUCAGGAGGAUUGACAGCAGACUUGCAGAAUUACAUAGAGAAAUUAGGAACCCCCAAAUUUCAUGUCAAUUGAUCUAUUCCCCCUCUUUGUUUCUUGGGGCAUUUUUCCUUUUUUUUUUUUUUUUGUUUUUUUUUUACCCCUCCUUAGCUUUAUGCGCUCAGAAACCAAAUUAAACCCCCCCCCCAUGUAACAGGGGGGCAGUGACAAAAGCAAGAACGCACGAAGCCAGCCUGGAGACCACCACGUCCUGCCCCCCGCCAUUUAUCGCCCUGAUUGGAUUUUGUUUUUCAUCUGUCCCUGUUGCUUGGGUUGAGUUGAGGGUGGAGCCUCCUGGGGGGCACUGGCCACUGAGCCCCCUUGGAGAAGUCAGAGGGGAGUGGAGAAGGCCACUGUCCGGCCUGGCUUCUGGGGACAGUGGCUGGUCCCCAGAAGUCCUGAGGGCGGAGGGGGGGGUUGGGCAGGGUCUCCUCAGGUGUCAGGAGGGUGCUCGGAGGCCACAGGAGGGGGCUCCUGGCUGGCCUGAGGCUGGCCGGAGGGGAAGGGGCUAGCAGGUGUGUAAACAGAGGGUUCCAUCAGGCUGGGGCAGGGUGGCCGCCUUCCGCACACUUGAGGAACCCUCCCCUCUCCCUCGGUGACAUCUUGCCCGCCCCUCAGCACCCUGCCUUGUCUCCAGGAGGUCCGAAGCUCUGUGGGACCUCUUGGGGGCAAGGUGGGGUGAGGCCGGGGAGUAGGGAGGUCAGGCGGGUCUGAGCCCACAGAGCAGGAGAGCUGCCAGGUCUGCCCAUCGACCAGGUUGCUUGGGCCCCGGAGCCCACGGGUCUGGUGAUGCCAUAGCAGCCACCACCGCGGCGCCUAGGGCUGCGGCAGGGACUCGGCCUCUGGGAGGUUUACCUCGCCCCCACUUGUGCCCCCAGCUCAGCCCCCCUGCACGCAGCCCGACUAGCAGUCUAGAGGCCUGAGGCUUCUGGGUCCUGGUGACGGGGCUGGCAUGACCCCGGGGGUCGUCCAUGCCAGUCCGCCUCAGUCGCAGAGGGUCCCUCGGCAAGCGCCCUGUGAGUGGGCCAUUCGGAACAUUGGACAGAAGCCCAAAGAGCCAAAUUGUCACAAUUGUGGAACCCACAUUGGCCUGAGAUCCAAAACGCUUCGAGGCACCCCAAAUUACCUGCCCAUUCGUCAGGACACCCACCCACCCAGUGUUAUAUUCUGCCUCGCCGGAGUGGGUGUUCCCGGGGGCACUUGCCGACCAGCCCCUUGCGUCCCCAGGUUUGCAGCUCUCCCCUGGGCCACUAACCAUCCUGGCCCGGGCUGCCUGUCUGACCUCCGUGCCUAGUCGUGGCUCUCCAUCUUGUCUCCUCCCCGUGUCCCCAAUGUCUUCAGUGGGGGGCCCCCUCUUGGGUCCCCUCCUCUGCCAUCACCUGAAGACCCCCACGCCAAACACUGAAUGUCACCUGUGCCUGCCGCCUCGGUCCACCUUGCGGCCCGUGUUUGACUCAACUCAACUCCUUUAACGCUAAUAUUUCCGGCAAAAUCCCAUGCUUGGGUUUUGUCUUUAACCUUGUAACGCUUGCAAUCCCAAUAAAGCAUUAAAAGUCAUGA
RNA transcript from Homo sapiens (human), 5127 nucleotides. It is a transcript of the gene named INS-IGF2 readthrough, with no coding region annotated. The record is from RefSeq and is marked reviewed. The transcript has 7 exons. Lineage: Eukaryota; Metazoa; Chordata; Mammalia; Primates; Hominidae.